GGAAAAAAGCAACUUGCAGUUCAACAAGAACAGCUUCUCCAGAGGUUUUCACUUAUGUUAGCUUUGGACUGGGUUCAAACACUGUGAGGACGCCUUUAUCCUGUCAGCACUUCCACACUCUGCGUUCUCAAAUUGACUUUUCAGCCCAUACGAGCCUGCUGAAGCAGUCCUUACUGUUGAAGUUGUAUCCAAAUACACAGAGCCUGUACUACAGACUAAAUUCACCUGGGGAUGCUCGGGAUUACCUGGAAGCCUCAGCUGUCUACCCUGUGCUUGAGUUUUGAUGCCAGACCCUGGCAUCUGAACUAGUCAAUGCAUUUUAAGAUGCAUCUAGUUGGACUGACAUUCCCAUCUCAAUUCCCACCAAGAUUCCUGGGGCUGGAUGUGGGUUUGCUGUCUGGUGACAGACAUCUUGACACCUAGAGAGUGUUUCAGUGCCUUACCAUUGCUGCUGCCAGGCAUAUCCUCUAAUUUUGAAAGAAAAAUUCAGCCUGGUACACCUCCUUUCUGAUUUCUGCUCCCUGGGUUUCUUUGUAAAAAGUCUGGAGGUGUCACAGCUCCAGAUGUGGCUGCACAGCAUUGGAAAAUUAUUGCAAAGACCAAGAAUCAUCCAGGCACAGCCUCCUUCAGCAGUGAAAUCUUCUUUGGCUUUUAUCAUCCAGAUUACCCUGGUGCUGAUGACUUAACAAGAUCUGACAAGAUCACAGCACAGGGCAGUAUACCUGCAGGUAAAACAAAGGUCACUUUGGAGAAGAUUUCUCACAGUCUGGAGCACAUAAAUAUUCAAGUAUUAGAUGUCUUUCAGUGGCAAGGGGAGACUGGUAGCCCAAUGAAAACAGUUGUGCCUGUUGGAGGUACACCUGGAUCUCCUCUGUGGGCUGUUGGUGGUCUGUAGAACAUCAUCAGCACAAGUCCUGAGUGCAAAUGAGUUAAUAGCUGAGAUAAUUUAGCAACCAGCUGUCAGAUGCAAGAGAAGCAAGCAUAAAACUAAAUCCUUCUUGUAACCCAAAAGGCAGUGAGAAGUUAUCUCAGCCUGUUUUAAACUGCAGGGUCCACUGUGACCCACUGUGAAGAGGAAGUUCCUGUACUACUGGGAAGAUGUUGCCCCCCUGCCUGACUUGUCCCCCCCAGAGCUACUCAGGGGUAAUGCACUGUGAUUGGAUCUUUAUAUUCAGAGGAGGACUUGGUCUCCAUUGUGGACUUCUGUGUAUGUACAGUCUGAUUUUACACUGCUUGUUCCCAUUUAUAUUCCCUCAAAGAACCCACUGCUUCAUGUGUUCAUCCUUGUGAACGUCCUCUGUUGAUGAUGCCCAGUGUAUUUCAGUCCCUUGGUAAGGCUCUGACAUAGGUCAGAUCUUCUUAUGGUCAUCUUUAGGUCAGAUGUCUCAGGUAAUGUUGCCAUGGGAUUAUACCAGAUGACCUUUAAAGGUCCUUUCUAACACAAACCAUCCUAUAAUUCUAUAAUAUUAUGCAGUCUCAUAUAAUUUUCUCUCCCAGCUACCAUAUCUGUGUUUUCACAAUGAGAAAUGCAUUUAGAUAACCAUGAAAAAAACCACAAAUCACCCAGUUACACUUGGCCUAGGUAAUGUAGACUCCUUUUCCUUCCCUUGCUGGGAGCACUAGAAAGGCAGAGGUCUAGUACUCCUGUUACCAAGUUCUUUACAGAGCACUCAGUUACCACCCUUUCUACCCCCAGCAUGCCUUCCCUCUCUUUUAGAGAACAAACUCUGUUUUGAGCAGGUUUGGACCAGUGUGACAUGGCCAAGCAAACAGCACAAAUGCUAGCAAGCAUAACAUUUUCCUCUCAGGAGUUUUUCUAUGACUUCCCAUAAAUCUUGGCUAUGAUUUUCUGAGCUCUUCCUUUCCACUGGAGACUUUGUUUGUCAUGCACAGAG
This 1895-nucleotide long non-coding RNA is filed under the name Chloebia gouldiae (Gouldian finch). RNAcentral describes it as "Erythrura gouldiae (Gouldian finch) lncRNA (ENSEGOG00005005529.1)". The record is from RNAcentral. Lineage: Eukaryota; Metazoa; Chordata; Aves; Passeriformes; Passeridae.